This 728-nucleotide small RNA is filed under the name Histoplasma ohiense. Its description in RNAcentral is "hypothetical lncRNA". Lineage: Eukaryota; Fungi; Ascomycota; Eurotiomycetes; Onygenales; Ajellomycetaceae. The record is from RNAcentral.
AAGCUAUCCCUCGCUGCUAAGCUAUCGCCGCUGCCAACCUAUCUACCUAGGUAUUGCUGCAAGCUAUCCCUCGCUGCUAAGCUAUCGCUGCCAACCUCUCUAUUGCUGCAAGCUAUCCCUCGCUGCUAAGCUAUCGCUGCCAACCUAUCUAUCGCUGCCAAUUUAUCUACCACUGCCAAUCUAUCUAUUGCUGCUAAUCUAUCGCUGCUGUCAAUCUAUCCCUCGCUGCUAAGCUAUCCCUCACUGCUAAGCUAUCUCUCGCUGCUAAGCUAUCCCUCACUGCUAAGCUAUCCCUCGCUGCUAAGCUAUCCCUCACUACUAAGCUAUCUAUCACUGCUAAUCUAUCGCUGCCAACCUAUCUAUCACUGCCAAUCUAUCUAUCGCUGCUAAUCUAUCGCUGCUAAUCUAUCGCUGCUAAUCUAUCGCUGCUAAUCUAUCGCUGCCAAUCUAUCUACCGCGGCGAAUCUAUCUAUCACUAUCAUUACUAGUUCAAAAUAGAACUAGAGCAUAAAUACACUAAACUUCUUUUGAUAGGUAAUGAUUUUUGGUAACGCUCAUAGCAUUAUAUCAUCUAUAUAGGGUAAAUCAUGGUCCCAUUUGGUCCCAUUUUAACAAAAUGGGACCAAAUGGGACCAGAAUCAGUAAUUUAUAAGAAGAACAUGACCUGGAACUAGAUUUAUAAUAUAAACAGUGUAAAGUGACUAAUUUAAUAAACACUAUAUGGAACC